This is a long non-coding RNA of Podarcis muralis (Common wall lizard), 2322 nucleotides long. The record is from Ensembl. Lineage: Eukaryota; Metazoa; Chordata; Lepidosauria; Squamata; Lacertidae.
AAGGUAUGCUUAGUUUGCCCCUGUCACUUUCUCCAGUUGCCAUGGCGAUGCCUAAUCUCAAUCAGAAAUCAAAAAAAAAAAAAAGGAGAAAGAAAGAAAAGAUAAGAGUGAUGACUGUUGGGUUAUUCUAAAGCCUCCAGGCCGGGGCCAGCUUGUGAUCAUCACCCAGGUAGACAGCGCUUGAAUGCCAGACUGUAAGACUAGGCUGGGAUCCCAGGAGCAUGGGAAGGCUGGAAUGAAGCUCCCUUGAAAAGGCAAAAAAAAAAAAAAGGGAAAGAUUUGUGGGGCAGAGCGAGGGAGGAGAAAGAUGAGGGGAGCCAGCGCUGUGUCUGAGAAAGAAGAAUCCAGGCGCCAACAGGGUAACAGCUGCCUCAGGAGCCAGUAUAUCUCGAGAAAUCCACAGAUGGAGAGACAGUGGCCAAGGACUUCCCAAAAGCAUCAGGAGAAAGAAGGUGACGAGCAAGGAAUUGUAGCCACAAUCACGGCAAAGGCACUGUGGCAAAAGAAUUAAUAGAUCAAAAGGAAAGGUAGUAAGUUGGAGACUCCAACAAGUGUCUACUGAUGUGCAUGUUUUGUCUCUUGACAAAUGAAUGAUCUAUUGCCCUCUCUCUUUAUAUGGAUCUAAAAUGGCCAAGGUGUUGGUGGAUGACCCAUAGGAUUCAGGGCUGGGUCAUCUUGACUCAGUGCUUCUGUUAGACAUACAGGUUGCAUUUAGUGGUGAGGAGGGCAUUUUUCCAGCUUUGGUUGACACAUCCGUUACAGCCUUUCCUGAUAAAAUCAGCUGUUGUUACAGUUAUUCAUGCCCCUGUUACUUCCUGAUUAGACUACUCUCAUGCACCCUUUAAGGGGCUCCCCUUCAAAUGUAUUCAGAAACAGCAAUUGGUGCAAAACGCUACUGCCAACGAGUUGACUGGAACUACCGGUAGAUGUUGAGAACAUGCAGUGCCCAUUUUGUUGUAUCUACACUGGUUACUAGUUUGUUUCUAGGCUCAAUUCAAGUUGCUGAUUUGGGCUUUUAAAGCCCUAAAUGACUUGAGAACUAGGUACCUUAAAAAGACCACUGUCUUCCAUACAUCCCCCCCCCCCAGCAUCUGAGGCCUUGAUACACAUUCCAUGGCAAUUAGCCCAUCAAAAAGCAUGACUGCCUUCAAAGAGGUCUGUGCCCAAUCAGAAAUCUGUACACUGUUGAGUUUUCCAAUCCCAUCCUUCAUUCUGAGACUCCAUGCCAUUAGUUAUAGGAACACAGUUUUGGAAACAUAGGAAUCUGUCUUGUACCAAGGCUAUUUAGCUCAGCAUUCUCUACAGGGACUGGCAGCCGUUCUCCAGUGUUUCUCUCCCUUUUCAACCUUGGAGAUACCCAGGACUGAACCCAGGACCUUCUGCAUGCAAGGCAGGUGCUCUCCUGCUGAGCCAUAGUCCUUUUAAACCACUGGUCCACAGAUUUGACGCAACCAUAAUGUAUGAAUUGGCAAAGGAGUACCACAUGUGUAUGCCAGCCGGUCACCAAGACUGUUUUCUGCGCAUCCUCCCCGAAUGGGCUUGGCUCACAAAUGGAGUAAUUCAGAAGAUUCUCUGUGGUUCAAAAAGCCCGCAACAGCUCCUGCCAUAAUGGAGGAGGUGGUCUCUAACCAAUGUAUCCAAAAUGCACAGAAUGAAAGUCUGCAAUAUAUUCUUCAUAGCCCGAUCUACAACUGAGUUACAUUGCGCUGUGGUAGUUUAAUUCCAGCAACUACUGUCCCCAUUUACACGCACCAGUGGAAGCAAAUUAGCUUAAAUCCAAGAACUCCAACUUAAGUGGGUUGUGAAUUGGGCUGCCCAGGUUAUAAUUUACUUUUUCAUCCAGCUCAAAUACUACCAAAGUGAAACACCAUCCUUCGGUGGUUGCAGAACAUCCUGCUGUGUAAUGUUUUCCGCCACAGUUGCUGUCUGGUAAGGAAACUACAAAUAUUUGGAAUUAAUGCCUGCCUUUUGAUGCCAAUUCUCUGAUUGCUACCAAAUAUGUUCACAGUGUAAACCAGUCACUUUCCUUUAAAUUCCAAGUCUAAACAUCACUGGGCACCAACAGCAGAGCUUGCUGGCUGCCCAGUUUGCAUUCUUUUCCCUCCUUAAAAAUACAUUUGGUUCCGCUGCAUGGAGUUGGACCAGUAAUAAAGUUAUUGUUGCACAUUUAAGUAUUUCUUUUCACUGCUUUGGUGAAACCGCUUGGGUAAUGCUUUGUUUGUUUGUUUGUUUGGUAAGUAGGAGAAAAUGUGUGUGAAGCCUUAAUAUAGAUUUUAUACAUUUUUUCCACUGUGCUUUAAGCUGCAUUAUUGUGAUUCUUAC